Oncorhynchus tshawytscha (Chinook salmon) is the source of this 426-nucleotide long non-coding RNA. The record is from Ensembl. NCBI's taxonomy places the organism in Eukaryota, Metazoa, Chordata, Actinopteri, Salmoniformes, Salmonidae.
GGUAGUGGGGGUUUAGAGAUCGAGAGAGGGAGAAGUGAAGAGCGAGAGUGGAGGUUUAGAGAUCGAGAGAGGGAGACGUGAAGAGAGAGGUAGUGGGGGUUUAGAGAUCGAGAGAGGGAGAAGUGAAGAGAGAGGUAGUGGGGGUUUAGAGAUCGAGAGAGGGAGAAGUGAAGAGAGAGGUAGUGGAGGUUUAGAGAUCGAGAGAGGGAGAAGUGAAGAGAGAGGUAGUGGAGGUUUAGAGAUCGAGAGAGGGAGAAGUGAAGAGAGAGAUUAAAGUGGUGGCUACAGAGACAGAAAGAGAAAGAUGUAGAGACUUUUUGUGAGAGAGCGUGCAAUUUCAUUAUGUCUGCUGUAGCCCAUACCAAAUAUGGAGUGCUUGCCCCCCACUCACCUCAAAUUACCUUACCUUUUAAUGUCUGGUAUUAC